Molecule: ribosomal RNA, 303 nt
Filed under: uncultured bacterium
Lineage: Bacteria
Description: partial 16S ribosomal RNA
Rfam family: Bacterial small subunit ribosomal RNA
Source: RNAcentral
AGCAGUAGCCACGGUAAUACGUAGGUGGCAAGCGUUGUCCGGAAUUAUUGGGCGUAAAGGGCUCGCAGGCGGUUUCUUAAGUCUGAUGUGAAAGCCCCCGGCUCAACCGGGGAGGGUCAUUGGAAACUGGGAAACUUGAGUGCAGAAGAGGAGAGUGGAAUUCCACGUGUAGCGGUGAAAUGCGUAGAGAUGUGGAGGAACACCAGUGGCGAAGGCGACUCUCUGGUCUGUAACUGACGCUGAGGAGCGAAAGCGUGGGGAGCUAACAGGAUUAGAUACCCCAGUAGUCCCUGUCUCUUAUAA